RNAcentral lists this ribosomal RNA (485 nucleotides) under uncultured bacterium. RNAcentral's name for it is "partial 16S ribosomal RNA". It matches the Rfam family "Bacterial small subunit ribosomal RNA", at positions 30 to 508 of the family's 1533-position model. The record is from RNAcentral.
AUUGAACGCUGGCGGCAGGCCUAACACAUGCAAGUCGAGCGGAUGAAGGGAGCUUGCUCCUGGAUUCAGCGGCGGACGGGUGAGUAAUGCCUAGGAAUCUGCCUGGUAGUGGGGGAUAACGUCCGGAAACGGGCGCUAAUACCGCAUACGUCCUGAGGGAGAAAGUGGGGGAUCUUCGGACCUCACGCUAUCAGAUGAGCCUAGGUCGGAUUAGCUAGUUGGUGGGGUAAAGGCCUACCAAGGCGACGAUCCGUAACUGGUCUGAGAGGAUGAUCAGUCACACUGGAACUGAGACACGGUCCAGACUCCUACGGGAGGCAGCAGUGGGGAAUAUUGGACAAUGGGCGAAAGCCUGAUCCAGCCAUGCCGCGUGUGGGAAGAAGGUCUUCGGAUUGUAAAGCACUUUAAGUUGGGAGGAAGGGCAGUAAGUUAAUACCUUGCUGUUUUGACGUUACCAACAGAAUAAGCACCGGCUAACUUCGUGC